AACGAACGCUGGCGGCAUGCCUAACACAUGCCAGUCGAACGAGACCUCCGGGUCUAGUGGCGCCCGGGUGCGUAACGCGUGGGAACCUGCCCUUAGGUUCGGAAUACCUCCCCGAAAGGGGUGCUAAUACCGGAUAAUGUCUUCGGACCAAAGAUUUAUCGCCUUUGGAUGGGCCCGCGUUGGAUUAGCUAGUUGUUAGGGUAAAAGCAUACCAAGGCGACGAUCCAUAGCUGGUCUGAGAGGAUGAUCAGCCACACUGGGACUGAGACACGGCCCAGACUCCUACGGGAGGAAGCAGUGGGGAAUAGUGGAAAAUGGGCGAAAGCCUGAUCCAGCAAUGCCGCGUGAGUGAUGAAGGCCUUAGGGUUGUAAAGCUCUUUUACCCGGGAUGAUAAUGACAGUACCGGGAGAAUAAGCUCCGGCUAACUCCGUG
This 433-nucleotide ribosomal RNA is filed under the name uncultured bacterium. RNAcentral's name for it is "partial 16S ribosomal RNA". It matches the Rfam family "Bacterial small subunit ribosomal RNA", at positions 29 to 507 of the family's 1533-position model. The record is from RNAcentral.